This 73-nucleotide transfer RNA is filed under the name Stegodyphus mimosarum. It matches the Rfam family "tRNA". From Rfam's summary of the family: Transfer RNA (tRNA) molecules are approximately 80 nucleotides in length. Their secondary structure includes four short double-helical elements and three loops (D, anti-codon, and T loops). The record is from Rfam by way of RNAcentral. Lineage: Eukaryota; Metazoa; Arthropoda; Arachnida; Araneae; Eresidae.
GCCUUUGUGAUGUAGUGGUCAGCAUGCUGGGUAUGCAUUCCAAAGGUCCGUGGUUCGAGUCCCGGCGAAGGCA